RNAcentral lists this ribosomal RNA (446 nucleotides) under uncultured bacterium. Its description in RNAcentral is "bacterial SSU rRNA". It matches the Rfam family "Bacterial small subunit ribosomal RNA", at positions 330 to 793 of the family's 1533-position model. The record is from RNAcentral.
UCCAGACUCCUACGGGAGGCAGCAGUGGGGAAUAUUGCACAAUGGGGGAAACCCUGAUGCAGCGACGCCGCGUGAAGGAAGAAGUAUUUCGGUAUGUAAACUUCUAUCAGCAGGGAAGAAAAUGACGGUACCUGACUAAGAAGCCCCGGCUAACUACGUGCCAGCAGCCGCGGUAAUACGUAGGGGGCAAGCGUUAUCCGGAUUUACUGGGUGUAAAGGGAGCGUAGGCGGUUUAGCAAGUCAGAAGUGAAAGCCCGGGGCUCAACUCCGGGACUGCUUUUGAAACUGUUGAACUAGAUGGCAGGAGAGGUAAGUGGAAUUCCUAGUGUAGCGGUGAAAUGCGUAGAUAUUAGGAGGAACACCAGUGGCGAAGGCGGCUUACUGGACUGUAAAUGACGCUGAGGCUCGAGAGCGUGGGGAGCAAACAGGAUUAGAUACCCUAGUAC